GACAGGGCCUACUCCUAUCUAAAAAGGGCUAGUCAAGAGCUUCCUGUUCUCAAAGCAGGAAAACAGCUUCAAAAGGGAAUAUAAGAAAGGAGUCAAGGGAUGGACAACUAGGUGUGAGCAUUAGACAAACACCCAGAUAAAGAAUACAUUCCUAGAGUUUUUCUUCUAUGUUCACUAGCAACAAGAUAACCCAGGCAUCUGCUUGCAAACUCUUACCUACAGGUGAUACAAAAGUUGCUUCAGACUUGGUCUGUAUAAACUGAGAAUUUAAAAUAAGGUAUCACUCCUCCCUGCAACAAAAUACAAAAAUCUUCCAAGCUAACACAACACUACGCAGUCAUCCGUUGGUGAUCCAGAAACCUAAGAACAAUAAGAGUUGCCAGCCUGCCAGCCUACCCUAUGGACUUCAGCUAUGACAACUCCCACAACUGCAUGAGCCGAU
Molecule: long non-coding RNA, 442 nt
Organism: Suricata suricatta (meerkat)
Lineage: Eukaryota; Metazoa; Chordata; Mammalia; Carnivora; Herpestidae
Exons: 3
Source: RefSeq, a predicted model, not a curated record